This 305-nucleotide ribosomal RNA is filed under the name uncultured bacterium. Its description in RNAcentral is "bacterial SSU rRNA". It matches the Rfam family "Bacterial small subunit ribosomal RNA", at positions 337 to 656 of the family's 1533-position model. The record is from RNAcentral.
CCCUACGGGACGCAGCAGUGGGGAAUCUUGCACAAUGGGCGAAAGCCUGAUGCAGCGACGCCGCGUGGGCGAAGAAGGCCUUUGGGCCGUAAAGCCCUGUCGGGAGGGAAGAAGGAAGCGACGGUACCUCCCAAGGAAGCCCCGGCUAACUACGUGCCAGCAGCCGCGGUAAUACGUAGGGGGCAAGCGUUAUCCGGAUUUACUGGGUGUAAAGGGAGCGUAGACGGCUGUGCAAGUCUGAAGUGAAAGCCCAGGGCUCAACCCUGGGACUGCUUUGGAAACUGUGGAGCUAGAGUGCUGGAGAG